This 229-nucleotide ribosomal RNA is filed under the name uncultured bacterium. Its description in RNAcentral is "partial 16S ribosomal RNA". It matches the Rfam family "Bacterial small subunit ribosomal RNA", at positions 568 to 796 of the family's 1533-position model. The record is from RNAcentral.
UACGUAGGCGGAAGAUUAAGUCAGUGGUGAAAUCCCGCAGCUCAACUGUGGAACUGUCAUUGAUACUGGUUUUCUUGAAUUUAGUUGAGGUAGGCGGAAUGUGUAAUGUAGCGGUGAAAUGCUUAGAUAUUACACAGAACACCGAUUGCGAAGGCAGCUUACUAAACUAUGAUUGACGCUGAGGUACGAAAGCGUGGGGAGCGAACAGGAUUAGAUACCCUGGUAGUCC